GACUGCAUGAACAGGUCCAGGAAGGCCGGCACCCGGAUCUGAGGGGACACAUGGUAUCAUUGGAAAGGAACGCACGGAAGAGAUGUCAGACUUACUGAAGUGAAGUGAUAGAGACCUUUACCAAAAACCAAAUACGAGCUUGCAGAAGAAACAGACCACCUCCCAACCAACCCAAAAUAACUCUCGUUCUUCAGCACCUUCACCUUUUCUGUGACUCUAGUACUCUGCC
Callorhinus ursinus (northern fur seal) is the source of this 229-nucleotide long non-coding RNA. RefSeq lists it as uncharacterized. NCBI's taxonomy places the organism in Eukaryota, Metazoa, Chordata, Mammalia, Carnivora, Otariidae. The record is from RefSeq and is a predicted model, not a curated record.